RNAcentral lists this ribosomal RNA (188 nucleotides) under uncultured Gemmatimonadota bacterium. RNAcentral's name for it is "uncultured Gemmatimonadetes bacterium partial 16S ribosomal RNA". It matches the Rfam family "Bacterial small subunit ribosomal RNA", at positions 337 to 525 of the family's 1533-position model. The record is from RNAcentral. Lineage: Bacteria; Pseudomonadati; Gemmatimonadota.
UCCUACGGGAGGCAGCAGUGGGGAAUCUUGCGCAAUGGCCGAAAGGCUGACGCAGCGACGCCGCGUGAGGGAUGACGGUCUUCGGAUUGUAAACCUCUGUUGCCCGGGACGAACCGGCGGUUUCGACCGCCUUGACGGUACCGGGUGAGGAAGCACCGGCUAACUCUGUGCCAGCAGCCGCGGUAAUA